This 899-nucleotide long non-coding RNA is filed under the name Aotus nancymaae (Ma's night monkey). RNAcentral's name for it is "lncRNA (ENSANAG00000038910.1)". Lineage: Eukaryota; Metazoa; Chordata; Mammalia; Primates; Aotidae. The record is from RNAcentral.
CAGGAACACUUCCCUGGACAGGGGGCUUUGUGGGAGCUGUGAGGAUUGCUCUGUGCCCAUGAAUGGGGACUGCUUCCUGCUGGUGACAGCUGGCAGUUUUCUGGUUUAUUAUGCUAGGUUUUUCAAAACACUUCCCCUCCCUGGGCUGGACAUUUAUCUAUUAUAGAUAAGAUAAGGGGGGUCGGAGAAGGUUAUGUGACAGUAAUUGGAGGGAGCUCAGCCCCUCCACGGAGCAGCCGGGUGAUUUCUGCAGUGUAUUUUGUUCGGUAGCACUUGAUGGAACAGCAAUUGGAGAGAUUUACAGACAUUAUCAUGGCAAAUGUCCAGCAGACCAGAUAUGGGGUGAUUGGUUGUUUGAAGGUAAAAGAUUGAAGUUUGCUGGGAGAUACCAACUGACAUGGAAGUUGCUGGAUUAAUGGGAAGAGACCCCCGUCACCUUAGAAGAAUUCUCGGAAUGGCUCAGAAAUAAACAGAACCUCAAGAAGCAGAGGGAUUUGAUUGCACGGGAGCUGGACUUCUAGAUUAGGACAUUUACAUGGUUUGGGUUUGUGCUGCCACCGAAAUCACAUGUCAAAUUUAAUCCCCAGUGUCGGAGGUGGAACCUGGUGGGAGGUGACUGGAUCAUGGGGUGAAUUUUCCCUUUGAGGCUGUUCUCAUGAUAGUGACUGAGUUAUCAUGAUGUCAGGUUAUUUAAAAGUGUGUAGCAUCUCCCCACUUUCUGUAUUCCUCCUGCUCUAGCCGUGUGAAGAUGUGCCUGUUUCCCCUUCGCCUUCCACCAUGACUGUAAGUUUCCUGAGGACUCCCCAGUCAUGCUUCCUGUAUAGCCUGUGGAACCGUGAGCUAAUUAAAACCUCUUGUCUUUGUAAAUUACCCAGUCUCAGGUAUUUCUUAACAGCAGU